UGUGUUCUAGAAGAGCCUGGACUAGACAACGCCCCGGCGCCCCAAGGCGGGUAUCGGGCAGCGGCAGGUGCCCCGCAGGCCAUGGGGGAGUAGAUCCGGGUCCCCGCAGCGCUGGGGCAGGAUCCCCGCAGGCCAUGGGGGAGUAGAUCCGGGUCCCCGCAGCGCUGGGGCAGGUCCCCCGCAGGCCAUGGGGGAGUAGAUCCGGGUCCCCGCAGCGCUGGGGCAGGUCCCCCGCAGGCCAUGGGGGAGUAGAUCCGGGUCCCCGCAGCGCCGGGGCAGGAUCCCCGCAGGCCAUGGGGGAGUAGACCUGGGUCCCCGCAGCGCCGGGGCAGGAUCCCCGCAGGCCAUGGAGGAGUAGAUCCGGGUCCCCGCAGCGCCGGGGCAGGAUCCCCGCAGGCCAUGGGGGAGUAGAUCCGGGUCCCCGCAGCGCCGGGGCAGGAUCCCCGCAGGCCAUGGGGGAGUAGAUCCGGGUCCCCGCAGCACCGGGGCAGGAUCCCCGCAGGCCAUGGGGGAGUAGAUCCGGGUCCCCGCAGCGCCGGGGCAGGAUCCCCGCAGGCCAUGGAGGAGUAGAUCCGGGUCCCCGCAGCGCCGGGGCAGGAUCCCCGCAGGCCAUGGGGGAGUAGAUCUGGGUCCCCACAGCGCCGGGGCAGGAUCCCCGCAGGUCAUGGGGGAGUAGAUCCGGGUCCCCGCAGCACCGGGGCAGGAUCCCCGCAGGCCAUGGGGGAGUAGAUCCGGGUCCCCGCAGCACCGGGGCAGGAUCCCCGCAGGCCAUGGGGGAGUAGAUCUGGGUCCCCACGGCGCUUGGGGCGGGUAUGGGGUGAGGCAGGAUCCCCACAGCUCAUGGGGGAGUACAUCAGGAUCCACGCAGCUCUGGGGUGGGUAUCGGGUAGGGGCAGGAUCCCCACAGCCCUUGGGGGAGUAGAUCAGGGUCCUUACAGUCCUGGGGUGGGUAUCAGGUAGGAGCAGGAUCCCCACAGCCCUGAGAAGGAUUAGAUAGGAGCAGAGUCCUCUCAGCCCAUUGGGGAGUAGAUCACUGAGGGGUGGGUACAAGCAAGAGUGAAGGCCUGGAAUCUAGGAAGCCCUAAAUACUAGUCUUUAAUAAAACAAAAAUCGUGCUA
This is a long non-coding RNA of Chelonia mydas (Green sea turtle), 1118 nucleotides long. RefSeq lists it as uncharacterized. The transcript is spliced from 2 exons. NCBI's taxonomy places the organism in Eukaryota, Metazoa, Chordata, Testudines, Cheloniidae. The record is from RefSeq and is a predicted model, not a curated record.